This 253-nucleotide ribosomal RNA is filed under the name uncultured bacterium. RNAcentral's name for it is "partial 16S ribosomal RNA". It matches the Rfam family "Bacterial small subunit ribosomal RNA", at positions 524 to 776 of the family's 1533-position model. The record is from RNAcentral.
UACGAAGGGGGCUAGCGUUGUUCGGAAUUAUUGGGCGUAAAGAGCUCGUAGGCGGUUUGUCGCGUCUGCUGUGAAAACCUAAGGCUCAACCUUGGGCUUGCAGUGGGUACGGGCAGACUAGAGUGCGGUAGGGGUGACUGGAAUUCCUGGUGUAGCGGUGGAAUGCGCAGAUAUCAGGAGGAACACCGAUGGCGAAGGCGGCUCACUGGACCGGUACUGACGCUGAUGCGCGAAAGCGUGGGGAGCAAACGGG